GUGUGCGCGCGCACAGAUGCUGGGCGUACAGGGUGCCAGUCAGGACUGUCCAGGGGAGAAUGCCCGGCAGCUGGCCAGAGUUGUGUGUGCCACUGUGCUGGCAGGAGAACUCUCACUGAUGGCUGCUCUGGCUGCUGGCCACCUGGUCAAGAGUCACAUGACACACAACAGAUCCAAGGUGAACCUACAGGAAACUCCAGGAACGUGCACCACAAAAGCCUCUUGAGAACCUGAAAGCAGCGCUACACUAGCUCACAGAGCAGUAAACCUGGGAAAGAUGGACAAUUUGAAAUGGACUAAUAAUUUUGUUCAAUGAAAACAGACCUCAGAAGUCUUCCAAGUGCUUUCAAAGAGACACUGGUUUCUUUUGACCAAUCACUAUGUUGGAUAGGAAAGGAUCCAUAUAAGCUAAUCAGACUAUUCUGUGGGACUAUAUUAAUUUUCUGUGUUUUAUGGAGCUUUUAUUUCUACAUUUAAGAAUGCUAUCAGGUUUUGGGUUCAAAUGAAUCAUUUCUGCUUCCCUGAUGCCAAAUGAAGCAACUUUGUGACCUAAGCAGUGAAUGUUUGUGGUUGUCAGUGGGAACUUCAGAACAAUGCUGCUUACUACAGAUUCUGCAUCAUUUCAUUUCUUCAUCAGGGGGGUUUGUGAACAAGAAUGUAGUGUCAUAGUUUGAAGCAGCCCACACAACUGUGUGAACUCAGCAGUAUCGCAAAGCAGACUUGAGUCCUGGUUCUACCAAAAAAGACUUAAGUAAGUUUUAGAAUAUGGAAGAAUAUAGCAGAAAUGGUAUAUAAGCUUCGUAACGAGUCUAUCAUAGCAGGAUAACUAAAAAAAGGCUACAAGUGCCUGAUGAGACUUUACAACAAAUCAUCAGUCCCUUCAUUCUGAGAUUAGAUUGUAAAACUAACCUUUGCACUUAGCACAUUUCCAGUACUAACUAUCAAAGUAAAGUGUGUUCCAGUGCCCAUUUACUACUGUACAUGUGCGUGCGUGUGUGUGUGUGUGUGUGUGUGUUUGUGUGCGUGCUUGUGUGUGUGUUCAGUCAUAGUGUGUUUUCCUGUUCCAGUGGAUGGCAAAUAUUUUGGAUAUAUUUUGUAAUAAAUACAAGAUGGCUUUA
This is a long non-coding RNA of Larimichthys crocea (large yellow croaker), 1118 nucleotides long. RefSeq lists it as uncharacterized. NCBI's taxonomy places the organism in Eukaryota, Metazoa, Chordata, Actinopteri, Sciaenidae. The transcript is spliced from 2 exons. The record is from RefSeq and is a predicted model, not a curated record.